Molecule: ribosomal RNA, 430 nt
Filed under: bacterium
Lineage: Bacteria
Description: partial 16S ribosomal RNA
Rfam family: Bacterial small subunit ribosomal RNA
Source: RNAcentral
UGGGGAAUUUUGCGCAAUGGGCGAAAGCCUGACGCAGCAACGCCGCGUGAGUGAUGAAGGCCUUCGGGUCGUAAAGCUCUGUCAGAGGGGAAGAACCGCUAGGUGGCUAAUACCUGCCUGGUCUGACGGUACCCUCAAAGGAAGCACCGGCUAACUCCGUGCCAGCAGCCGCGGUAAUACGGAGGGUGCAAGCGUUGUUCGGAAUUAUUGGGCGUAAAGCGCGUGUAGGCGGUUUGUUAAGUCUGGUGUGAAAGCCCUGGGCUCAACCUGGGAAGUGCAUUGGAUACUGGCAAACUUGAGUACGGGAGAGGAUAGUGGAAUUUCGAGUGUAGGGGUGAAAUCCGUAGAUAUUCGAAGGAACACCGGUGGCGAAGGCGGCUAUCUGGACCGAUACUGACGCUGAGACGCGAAAGCGUGGGGAGCAAACAGG